AUAAAUUCUAUGAAGAGAAAGAGUAGGCUAGUUGAUCGUUCUGCAGAGAGUUGGUGUUAUGCUGAAAGCCAAUGUUCAAAGAUUAGUUGAAAAUCAUCUCUGAGAAGCAGAGCUGAAAUUUAUUUUAGUAAGCAAUGUAGGUAGUCCACCGUUAAAAGGAACACGUAUUAUAAUGUACGCUGAUGAGUGUUAUAAAUUAAUUUUUUAUAUUUUAGUUUAUAGAACUAGGGUGGUAACGCGAGUAUAACUCGUCCCUUAU
Molecule: non-coding RNA, 259 nt
Filed under: Tissierella praeacuta
Lineage: Bacteria; Bacillati; Bacillota; Tissierellia; Tissierellales; Tissierellaceae
Description: T-box sequence
Rfam family: T-box leader
About the family: Uncharged tRNA acts as the effector for transcription antitermination of genes in the T-box leader family. T-boxes are found upstream of many aminoacyl-tRNA synthetase genes and some amino acid biosynthetic genes usually in Gram-positive bacteria. The anticodon of a specific tRNA base pairs to a specifier sequence within the T-box motif, and the NCCA acceptor tail of the tRNA base pairs to a conserved bulge in the T-box antiterminator hairpin.
Source: RNAcentral